Molecule: ribosomal RNA, 250 nt
Filed under: uncultured bacterium
Lineage: Bacteria
Description: partial 16S ribosomal RNA
Rfam family: Bacterial small subunit ribosomal RNA
Source: RNAcentral
UACGUAGGGGGCAAGCGUUAUCCGGAAUUAUUGGGCGUAAAGGGUGCGUAGGCGGCUCUUUAAGCGCGGGGUGAAAGGCAAUGGCUCAACCAUUGUCAGCCUUGCGAACUGAGGAGCUUGAGUGCAGGAGAGGAAAGUGGAAUUCCUAGUGUAGCGGUGAAAUGCGUAGAUAUUAGGAGGAACACCAGUGGCGAAGGCGACUUUCUGGACUGUAACUGACGCUGAGGCACGAAAGUGUGGGGAGCAAACA